This 533-nucleotide ribosomal RNA is filed under the name uncultured bacterium. RNAcentral's name for it is "partial 16S ribosomal RNA". It matches the Rfam family "Bacterial small subunit ribosomal RNA", at positions 35 to 539 of the family's 1533-position model. The record is from RNAcentral.
AGUGAACGCUGGCGGUAGGCCUAACACAUGCAAGUCGAACGGCAGCACAGUAAGAGCUUGCUCUUACGGGUGGCGAGUGGCGGACGGGUGAGGAAUACAUCGGAAUCUACUUUUUCGUGGGGGAUAACGUAGGGAAACUUACGCUAAUACCGCAUACGACCUACGGGUGAAAGCAGGGGAUCUUCGGACCUUGCGCGAUUGAAUGAGCCGAUGUCGGAUUAGCUAGUUGGCGGGGUAAAGGCCCACCAAGGCGACGAUCCGUAGCUGGUCUGAGAGGAUGCUCAACAACAAUGGACAGAGGAACGGGGACCGAGUUGGAGGGGAGGCAGCAGUGGGGAAUAGUGGAGGAGUGGCGAAAGCGUGAUACGGCCAUACGGCGUGGGUGAAGCAGGCCUUCGGGUUUUAAAGCCCUAUUGUUGAGAAAGCAAAGCAGCACGUUAAUACACCGCUGUUCUGACGCUACACAAAGAAUAAGCACCGGCUAGCGUCGUGCCAGCAGCAGCGUUAAUAAUCGGACGAGCACCCGUCUCCAC